CCUACGGGGGGCAGCAGUGAGGAAUAUUGGUCAAUGGACGAGAGUCUGAACCAGCCAAGUAGCGUGAAGGAUGACUGCCCUAUGGGUUGUAAACUUCUUUUAUAUGGGAAUAAAAUGUUCCACGUGUGGGAUUUUGUAUGUACCAUAUGAAUAAGGAUCGGCUAACUCCGUGCCAGCAGCCGCGGUAAUACGGAGGAUCCGAGCGUUAUCCGGAUUUAUUGGGUUUAAAGGGAGCGUAGGUGGAUUGUUAAGUCAGUUGUGAAAGUUUGCGGCUCAACCGUAAAAUUGCAGUUGAAACUGGCAGUCUUGAGUACAGUAGAGGUGGGCGGAAUUCGUGGUGUAGCGGUGAAAUGCAUAGAUAUCACGAAGAACUCCGAUUGCGAAGGCAGUUCACUGGACUGCAACUGACACUGAGGCUCGAAAGUGUGGGUAUCAAACAGGAUUAGAUACCCGGGUAGUC
This 460-nucleotide ribosomal RNA is filed under the name uncultured bacterium. RNAcentral describes it as "partial 16S ribosomal RNA". It matches the Rfam family "Bacterial small subunit ribosomal RNA", at positions 338 to 795 of the family's 1533-position model. The record is from RNAcentral.